Molecule: ribosomal RNA, 484 nt
Filed under: uncultured bacterium
Lineage: Bacteria
Description: partial 16S ribosomal RNA
Rfam family: Bacterial small subunit ribosomal RNA
Source: RNAcentral
AUUGAACGCUGGCGGCAUGCUUUACACAUGCAAGUCGAACGGCAGCGCGGGCUUCGGCCUGGCGGCGAGUGGCGAACGGGUGAGUAAUGCAUCGGAACGUGCCCAGUAGUGGGGGAUAGCCCGGCGAAAGCCGGAUUAAUACCGCAUACGACCUGAGGGUGAAAGCGGGGGACCGAAAGGCCUCGCGCUAUUGGAGCGGCCGAUGUCGGAUUAGCUAGUUGGUGGGGUAAAGGCUUACCAAGGCGACGAUCCGUAGCUGGUCUGAGAGGACGACCAGCCACACUGGGACUGGGACACGGCCCAGACUCCUACGGGAGGCAGCAGUGGGGAAUUUUGGACAAUGGGGGCAACCCUGAUCCAGCCAUGCCGCGUGCGGGAAGAAGGCCUUCGGGUUGUAAACCGCUUUUGUUUGGGAAGAAAUCCUCUGGGCUAAUACCCCGGGGGGAUGACGGUACCGGAAGAAUAAGCACCGGCUAACUACGUG